RNAcentral lists this ribosomal RNA (253 nucleotides) under uncultured bacterium. Its description in RNAcentral is "partial 16S ribosomal RNA". It matches the Rfam family "Bacterial small subunit ribosomal RNA", at positions 524 to 776 of the family's 1533-position model. The record is from RNAcentral.
UACGUAGGGUGCAAGCGUUGUCCGGAAUUAUUGGGCGUAAAGAGCUUGUAGGCGGUUUGUCGCGUCUGCUGUGAAAUUUCGGGGCUCAACCCCGAACUUGCAGUGGGUACGGGCAGACUAGAGUGUGGUAGGGGAGACUGGAAUUCCUGGUGUAGCGGUGAAAUGCGCAGAUAUCAGGAGGAACACCGAUGGCGAAGGCAGGUCUCUGGGCCACUACUGACGCUGAGGAGCGAAAGCCAGGGGAGCAAACGGG